AAUUGACAAUACUGCAGAAAAACCGAAGCCCUGGACAGCGUGCUUGGCUGCAAACCUCAUUGGUUCUGGAUGCAUCCGUGGAGCACCAAGCUGCAUCGAGUGCUGCCAAGUUAGCGUCGCGCGUAAGAAACUUCCAGUGAAGCUGGCCAAAUCCUUAUGGAUACUACAGCCUGCUGCCUCUGGGAGUGAAAAUCAGUAGGCACCUGAGCAUUUUCCCUGUGUC
Molecule: long non-coding RNA, 223 nt
Organism: Nothoprocta perdicaria
Lineage: Eukaryota; Metazoa; Chordata; Aves; Tinamiformes; Tinamidae
Exons: 3
Source: RefSeq, a predicted model, not a curated record